RNAcentral lists this ribosomal RNA (433 nucleotides) under uncultured bacterium. RNAcentral describes it as "partial 16S ribosomal RNA". It matches the Rfam family "Bacterial small subunit ribosomal RNA", at positions 29 to 507 of the family's 1533-position model. The record is from RNAcentral.
AACGAACGCUGGCGGCAUGCCUAACACAUGCAAGUCGAACGAGACCUUCGGGUCUAGUGGCGCACGGGUGCGUAACGCGUGGGAACCUGCCCUUAGGUUCGGAAUAACUCCCCGAAAGGGGUGCUAAUACCGGAUAAUGUCUUCGGACCAAAGAUUUAUCGCCUUUGGAUGGGCCCGCGUUGGAUUAGCUAGUUGGUAGGGUAAAAGCCUACCAAGGCGACGAUCCAUAGCUGGUCUGAGAGGAUGAUCAGCCACACUGGGACUGAGACACGGCCCAGACUCCGACGGGAGGGAGCAGUGGGGAAUAUUAGACAAUGGGCGAAAGCCUGAUCCAGCAGUGCCGCGUGAGUGAUGAAGGCCUUAGGGUUGUACAGCUCUUUUACCCGGGAUGAUAAUGACAGUACCGGGAGAAUAAGCUCCGGCUAACUCCGUG